Molecule: small RNA, 374 nt
Filed under: Vigna angularis var. angularis
Lineage: Eukaryota; Viridiplantae; Streptophyta; Magnoliopsida; Fabales; Fabaceae
Description: Non-protein coding transcript
Source: RNAcentral
GGAGCGUGUUCACCACUCAUGAUCUUUAUUAUUUAGAAAUCACAGAAAAUGAAGAGUAACCAAUAGGAGAUGUUCCUUUUGCAUUCUCUUCCUGAAAACGAUUACUCAGUCUUUCAUGAUUAAGGUAAAUAGGAGUAUCCACCAAUCAUACGUAAGAUUGAAUAAUAUUGGAGCAUGGUGUUUGGAGAAAAAGGCUGCGUGGUCAGAAUUAAAGGAUAAGGAAGAAUGGAAAAUGGUGGAAAAUGUCACUAGCAUGUUAUGUUGCAUAUGCCAUCUUCACGUUACGUGCAUCACACAAAACAAGUUAAGUUGCCACAUUUAAUUUGCUACGCUAAGAAUCUCCCUUUCUUUAUUCACAAAAACUUCACUGUGCA